CUCUAAUAUCAAUUCGGAAUAUAUAUUUUAAGGAAUAUAUACAGUAAUAUAUUAGAUAUUAAAGAGACUUAUUCCAUCCGAUUUACUAAUACAGUAAAAAGGUAAAUAUGAAUCAAUAAAAUACAUAUUAGUAGAGCUAAAAACUAGAAAAUAUGUGAUUUAU
RNAcentral lists this non-coding RNA (163 nucleotides) under unclassified sequences. RNAcentral describes it as "RT-14 RNA". It matches the Rfam family "RT-14 RNA". Rfam says of the family: Cloacimonetes, Firmicutes, Proteobacteria. Nearby to self-splicing intron genes The record is from Rfam by way of RNAcentral.